RNAcentral lists this ribosomal RNA (360 nucleotides) under Sympagurus sp. KC7247. RNAcentral's name for it is "partial 16S ribosomal RNA". The stretch from base 55 to 360 matches the Rfam family "Bacterial large subunit ribosomal RNA", at positions 2079 to 2586 of the family's 2925-position model. Lineage: Eukaryota; Metazoa; Arthropoda; Malacostraca; Decapoda; Parapaguridae. The record is from RNAcentral.
UUAAAUAAAUAUUGAAUUUGACUUUUAAGUGAAAAGGCUUAAAUAAAUUAAAAAGACGAUAAGACCCUAUAAAUCUUUACAAAAGGUGUGUUUUAAGUUUUAGUUUAAAUGUAAUAAAGUAUAAAACAUGAUUUUGUUGCGCUGGGGCGGCGUAGAUAUAUAAGAAAACUGUUUAUAAAAUGUAAACAAUUAUUAUUGAUUAGAUGAAAUUGAUCCUUAUUUAGAUUAAAAGAUUAAGAUACUUUAGGGAUAACAGCGUUAUUUUUUCUGAGAGUUCUUAUCGAAGAAAAAGAUUGCGACCUCGAUGUUGAAUUAAAGUUUCUUUAAGGUGUAGUGGCUUAAAAGAGAGUCUGUUCGACU